AGCUUGCUUUUCUUGAUUAGUGGCGCACGGGUGAGUAAUGCAUAGAUAAUGUGCCCCUUAGUUCGGGAUAGCCACUGGAAACGGUGAUUAAUACCGGAUACUCCUUCUUGUUAUAAGACAAGUCGGGAAAGUUUUUCGCUAAGGGAUCAGUCUAUGUUCCAUCAGCUUGUUGGUGAGGUAAUGGCUCACCAAGGCUAUGACGGAUAUCUGGUUUGAGAGGAUGAUCAGACACACUGGAACUGAGACACGGUCCAGACUCCUACGGGAGGCAGCAGUGAGGAAUAUUGCACAAUGGAGGAAACUCUGAUGCAGCAACGCCGCGUGGAGGAUGACGCAUUUCGGUGUGUAAACUCCUUUUAUUAGGGAAGAUAAUGACGGUACCUAAUGAAUAAGCACCGGCUAACUCCGUGCCAGCAGCCGCGGUAAUACGGAGGGUGCAAGCGUUACUCGGAAUCACUGGGCGUAAAGGGUGCGUAGGCUGGCUUUUAAGUCAGAUGUGAAAUCCAAUGGCUCAACCAUUGAACUGCAUUUGAAACUGAAAGCCUAGAGUUCAGAAGGGGCAGAUGGAAUUAGUGGUGUAGGGGUAAAAUCCGUAGAUAUCACUAGGAAUAUCAAAAGCGAAGGCGAUCUGCUGGG
Molecule: ribosomal RNA, 636 nt
Filed under: uncultured bacterium
Lineage: Bacteria
Description: bacterial SSU rRNA
Rfam family: Bacterial small subunit ribosomal RNA
Source: RNAcentral